AACCUGCAACCUUGGUGUAUUGGGAUGAUUCUCUAACCAGCUGAGCUACCUGGCCAGGGUGAAUUCUGCAGCACUUUCAAGGCAAGUCAAUCCAGACACAUGUGACGAGGCAGUAGAAGAAAUCUCCAGUUUCAGGGCCUUUCCUGGGCAGCAGAUGCAUAAGCAGACCUUCUGCGUCUGCCUCAUCUUCCUGGCCAACCAAAAGAAAAAAUGGAUUAAUCAUGUGAAAUUUAGAAAAAUAAGUAUUCUUGAUGAACACUUAUGAGAAGAACUCCUUGAAAAUGACUUUGACAUCAGAAAAUGGCUUCAUUAGGGGGCAGCAGUCACGUUCCUUGGGUUCAGGACAGGGCUGGAGGUCCCAGCUGGAGCAGAUGAUUGCCUGCUUUGGUUCAAAGCCAUCUAAGCCCAAUUAACUUCAGAUAAAAAGGAGCACUCCAUGUGAUCCAGCACAGAAAAAGAUACUGAGAAACUAUGGUGGAACCAAGAGCCAGCUUGUGGCCCCCAGAAUCAGCCAUUCCCCUGGAACCAGUUAGUGCCUUAGAAGGAGGGUAAGAAGUCCCCUGGAACCAGUUAGUGCCUUAGAAGGAUUCCCACUGGAGCCGGUGGAUUCUGUUUCCCUGCAGCAUUGAUAGUGGACAUGGCCGUGUGGUUGCUCUGACCAACGGGAAGAAGGCAGGCAGAAGAGACUGCGGUAGGUGCAAGCCCAGUGCUUAAAAGGCAUUGCAUAUCCACUCACUCCCCGGGUACUGCCAUUCACCAGGAAAAUCACCCAUCCCAGGGAUUUCUGGUCCAGCAGAAUGCAAGACACAUGGAGCUGACCUGAGCUAGACCCACACAGCCUGAAGCAGAGCUGCCCCAGAUGACCUGCACAUCUGCGAGUGAGAUAAAUGAAAGUUUGUUGUAAGCCACUGAGAUUCUGAGGUUGUUUGCUGUGCAGCAAAAACGAACACACUCUCCUUUUUGAAAACGGGACAUAACUAGUCCAUCUACAGCCUUUCAGCACUUCCAGUGCUCUUCAUGAAUUCUUAAAGAUUACACAUAGUAUAUGCAUUCAAUGGAAUAUUAUCCAUCCUUAAAAAGAAAGGAAAUUCUUUUUGCUAGUAGCCAUCCU
Miniopterus natalensis is the source of this 1111-nucleotide long non-coding RNA. RefSeq lists it as uncharacterized. The record is from RefSeq and is a predicted model, not a curated record. Lineage: Eukaryota; Metazoa; Chordata; Mammalia; Chiroptera; Miniopteridae.